RNAcentral lists this long non-coding RNA (1397 nucleotides) under Struthio camelus australis. RNAcentral describes it as "lncRNA (ENSSCUG00000003450.1)". Lineage: Eukaryota; Metazoa; Chordata; Aves; Struthioniformes; Struthionidae. The record is from RNAcentral.
CUUCACUCACUUGAGAUCAUGGAAAUUUUCCUGCGUGCCAGCUGGGAUCACAAAUUCAUCCAGAGAGGUAGCUGGUUUCACUUCAUAAAUGCAGCAGCAAGUUAUUCCCAGUCCAUCCUCUCCUCGUAUCAGGUACAGCUGCAAGUUGGAGGGACGUGCUUGUAGUAAGAUAAACAAGGAAUCAGUCUCUUGAAAAAGGUAACAUUUUAGGACUUCAGUUCUGGCUGAGCUCAGUGUCUAUUGAAAAAAACAUCUCAACCUCAGAUAACUACCAUGUUCCUCAGUCAGGUCUUGUUGUCAUGGUAGUGAUGUAUUUGAUCUAUAUUUAUAACAUAAGAUUUUGAAUAGAUUAUUUCUGCUUUUGGAGUAGAGGGGAAUGGGUGGCUAUUCCCAUUUAAAAAGUAUGGUUUAAAUGGUAUUUAUUUAAAAAAAAAAAAAAAACGCUGUUUCUUCAGGUAAGACACAAAAGCUAGAGAUAGUUACCUUUGCUUGCCAGUUUAAUGCUAGAAUGUGCUUGAACUUAUUGCUGAACAUGGCUUCCAGAUGUGCCAGCAGAGAGUGCCAUUGUUACAGGUUUUUGUAAAUCUUGCUACAUGUCCUUCUGCAUCUUUAGGAAGCCAGAAAUUUCUGUAAAUCUGGCCUUACGCUACUUUGGAAAACAUUUUUCGCAAGUUGUACCCACCAUUAAAAAGAUUGAUGUAGGAGAUUAAGCUAAAUGCACAAAACACUUUCAUUUUCUUUAUUUUCAAUCGAUACUGUAUGAAUACAAAGUUUCUAGAAAGCUACAAAAAUUCUACCACUUUAUCAAGAAGGCAUCAAAAUGUGUCACUUUGCAAAGACAUGAAAACACCUGCAGUAACCGACACAAAAAUAGCAUUUUUAGAGUGAUGAAAUAAUUGCACUUAACUGUCAUGGAUAUUAAAGUUAUCACACAUAUGUACCGCGAAAGCUAGAAUACAUUUUUUUUUUUUUUACAAAGCACUUUAUAAAAAAAUUCUCUGCACACAAAACCUAUAAUUUUCAUAUUACUAUCAUACUAAAGAUAAAUUCACUUUAAAGCCAACACUUAAAACAUUUUAAACAAAAAAAGGUACCAGUACCUACACACAGACAAUAACAAAUACAAGAAUACUGUACUGCCAAGAGGUUUGACUGAAACUCCUUUUGAAAGCUUCUGCAAAUAUGUUAAGAAAACAUUGGAGAACAUUCACUUUUUUCAAAGAGCCUUCCCUCCCUUGUCUAACCUAGAGGUACUUUAUCAUCAAAAGGCAAGUUCUACAUCAAAAGUUACCAGCAGCAGUACAAUAUUAAAGUAACCACUGACCAUAUAUGAAUAUGCUUAAGUCACAAACCCAUUUUAUACACAUUACACAAAUAAACAUAAAGUGAGAAUUCCA